GGGAAUGUACCUCAAUGGUAGAGUAUUUGCCUGUAAUGCCAAGGCCCUGGGCUCAAUCCCCAGCACCGCCA
RNAcentral lists this transfer RNA (71 nucleotides) under Heterocephalus glaber (naked mole-rat). It matches the Rfam family "tRNA". From Rfam's summary of the family: Transfer RNA (tRNA) molecules are approximately 80 nucleotides in length. Their secondary structure includes four short double-helical elements and three loops (D, anti-codon, and T loops). Further hydrogen bonds mediate the characteristic L-shaped molecular structure. tRNAs have two regions of fundamental functional importance: the anti-codon, which is responsible for specific mRNA codon recognition, and the 3' end, to which the tRNAs corresponding amino acid is attached (by aminoacyl-tRNA synthetases). tRNAs cope with the degeneracy of the genetic code in two manners: having more than one tRNA (with a specific anti-codon) for a particular amino acid; and 'wobble' base-pairing, i.e. permitting non-standard base-pairing at the 3rd anti-codon position. The record is from Rfam by way of RNAcentral. Lineage: Eukaryota; Metazoa; Chordata; Mammalia; Rodentia; Bathyergidae.